This 468-nucleotide ribosomal RNA is filed under the name uncultured bacterium. RNAcentral describes it as "partial 16S ribosomal RNA". It matches the Rfam family "Bacterial small subunit ribosomal RNA", at positions 28 to 507 of the family's 1533-position model. The record is from RNAcentral.
GACGAACGCUGGCGGCGUGCUUAACACAUGCAAGUCGAACGGAAAGGCCCUGCUUUUGUGGGGUGCUCGAGUGGCGAACGGGUGAGUAACACGUGAGUAACCUGCCCUUGACUUUGGGAUAACUUCAGGAAACUGGGGCUAAUACCGGAUAGGAGCUCCUGCUGCAUGGUGGGGGUUGGAAAGUUUCGGCGGUUGGGGAUGGACUCGCGGCUUAUCAGUUUGUUGGUGGGGUAGUGGCUUACCAAGGCUUUGACGGGUAGCCGGCCUGAGAGGGUGACCGGCCACAUUGGGACUGAGAUACGGCCCAGACUCCUACGGGAGGCAGCAGUGGGGAAUAUUGCACAAUGGGCGGAAGCCUGAUGCAGCAACGCCGCGUGCGGGAUGACGGCCUUCGGGUUGUAAACCGCUUUCGCCUGUGACGAAGCGUGAGUGACAGUAAUGGGUAAAGAAGCACCGGCUAACUACGUG